AGGGUAAUAGUUAAUUAUAACAUUUAAUUUGCAAUUAAAAAGUAUUGUCUGACAAUUUAUCUUU
This 64-nucleotide transfer RNA is filed under the name Phyllotreta striolata. RNAcentral describes it as "tRNA-Ala". It matches the Rfam family "tRNA". Rfam says of the family: Transfer RNA (tRNA) molecules are approximately 80 nucleotides in length. Their secondary structure includes four short double-helical elements and three loops (D, anti-codon, and T loops). Further hydrogen bonds mediate the characteristic L-shaped molecular structure. tRNAs have two regions of fundamental functional importance: the anti-codon, which is responsible for specific mRNA codon recognition, and the 3' end, to which the tRNAs corresponding amino acid is attached (by aminoacyl-tRNA synthetases). tRNAs cope with the degeneracy of the genetic code in two manners: having more than one tRNA (with a specific anti-codon) for a particular amino acid; and 'wobble' base-pairing, i.e. permitting non-standard base-pairing at the 3rd anti-codon position. Lineage: Eukaryota; Metazoa; Arthropoda; Insecta; Coleoptera; Chrysomelidae. The record is from RNAcentral.